AUUGAACGCUGGCGGCAUGCCUUACACAUGCAAGUCGAACGGCAGCGCGGGAGCAAUCCUGGCGGCGAGUGGCGAACGGGUGAGUAAUAUAUCGGAACGUGCCCAGUAGUGGGGGAUAGCCCGGCGAAAGCCGGAUUAAUACCGCAUGAGACCUGAGGGUGAAAGCGGGGGAUCGCAAGACCUCGCGCUAUUGGAGCGGCCGAUAUCAGAUUAGCUAGUUGGUGGGGUAAAGGCCUACCAAGGCAACGAUCUGUAGUUGGUCUGAGAGGACGACCAGCCACACUGGGACUGAGACACGGCCCAGACUCCUACGGGAGGCAGCAGUGGGGAAUUUUGGACAAUGGGCGCAAGCCUGAUCCAGCAAUGCCGCGUGCAGGAA
RNAcentral lists this ribosomal RNA (379 nucleotides) under uncultured bacterium. RNAcentral describes it as "bacterial SSU rRNA". It matches the Rfam family "Bacterial small subunit ribosomal RNA", at positions 29 to 409 of the family's 1533-position model. The record is from RNAcentral.